Molecule: long non-coding RNA, 283 nt
Filed under: Physcomitrium patens
Lineage: Eukaryota; Viridiplantae; Streptophyta; Bryopsida; Funariales; Funariaceae
Description: long non-coding RNA (PPAT_LNC011994)
Source: RNAcentral
AGCUCAACCUUCAGAUUGUUUUAUGGUACCUUUACAUCUCGGUAUUCAAGAACUACAAGUCGAUGCUUUAUUAGACUCGGAUGCAUCCGCUUGCUUUAUAGAUGAAGAGUUUGCCAAGCUUCACAAUAUUUCUCUUGUAAAGAAACUUAAGCCUGUCCAUGUAGAAGUCCGUCAUUUGUUAUCCAUGAAAGGACACGAAGACAAUGAUCGUCCGGCAACGAUAUCCAUAAAACUAAACCAUUGAAGGUACGUCUUGAAAACCAUGAGAGCAAUAUUGUGUUUA